Molecule: non-coding RNA, 68 nt
Organism: Marinobacter sp. T13-3
Lineage: Bacteria; Pseudomonadati; Pseudomonadota; Gammaproteobacteria; Pseudomonadales; Marinobacteraceae
Source: Rfam
CAUGCGGUGCCUGGCGCUGACGCUGGUUUUUCAGUGGGUGAUCGGGUAGCGGCAUGACCGAAAGAGGU